Molecule: long non-coding RNA, 622 nt
Organism: Eubalaena glacialis (North Atlantic right whale)
Lineage: Eukaryota; Metazoa; Chordata; Mammalia; Artiodactyla; Balaenidae
Exons: 3
Source: RefSeq, a predicted model, not a curated record
ACUCAGCAAGCAGGAGGGUGUGCAUCUGUUUCCUGGCGGUGGGAGACCCAUCUUUGACCUUCACGUCAUUUUCCCAACUCAGCUCUGCGCCUGGAGACUGUUUUGGCAGCCUUAGACCUCUUUCCAGCUCCACUGGCUGCCCAGGUGGAGAGGAACAGAUGCUUCACACAGCAAGAAAGAAUGCUUAAGACUUAUGGGACAGCUCCUUCCCCUGCAUCCCUCAAGCCACGGAUAACACCUGUCUCAACAAGAGCCAUUUACAAAAGAUGUGAGGAUGAUAGAUGGGAUCAGAGGACAGCACAGAAGAAGCAAUAACUGCCCCACCAUGCCCCCGCACCCCGGACCUCCUCACAACCAUGUAACCCUCUAGAUUCUGGACCGCUAGCUCAUAGCUGGGAUCCAUUCUCCACAGGGAUGGUUCUCUAUCUUUCCUCUUCUCUACAACUUGGGGCCCCCAUAGGCCCUGUCUCUUGCCUGAGGCAACAACCCCAAAUUCCUUCAGUAGGUUAUGCAGCUCAGUUUCUCUCUAGGCUCACCUUUCGUAGCUGAAGAAGACCCAUCAAAGUGUUUUUAUAAACAAAAAGAAUCACCUUCUCCUUAUAAAACACAUAAACAAAAAUGA